RNAcentral lists this ribosomal RNA (871 nucleotides) under uncultured Microgenomates group bacterium. RNAcentral's name for it is "bacterial SSU rRNA". It matches the Rfam family "Bacterial small subunit ribosomal RNA", at positions 8 to 916 of the family's 1533-position model. The record is from RNAcentral.
AGAGUUUGAUCCUGGCUCAGGAUGAACGCUAGCGGCGUGCCUUAGGCAUGCAAGUGGAACGGUCCGGCGCAAGUCGGACAGUCGCAGACGGGUGAGUAACGCGUAGGAACCUACCCCGAAGUGUGGAAUAGCUCCGCGAAAGCGGUGGUAAUUCCGCAUACGGUCCGGUGGCAACAUCGGACGAAAGGGCAUAACUGCUCGCUUUGGGAGGGGCCUGCGUCCUAUCAGCUUGUUGGUGAGGUAAUGGCUUACCAAGGCAAUGACGGGUAGCUGGACUGAGAGGUCGGUCAGCCACAAGGGCACUGAGACACGGGCCCUACACCUACGGGUGGCAGCAACCGGGAAUAUUGCGCAAUGGGCGAAAGCCUGACGCAGCGACGCCGCGUGAAGGAAGAAGGCCUUCGGGUUGUAAACUUCUUUUAUUUGAUUAUCAUGGUCAUUUGAAUAAGCACCUGCUAACUACGUGCCAGCAGCCGCGGUAAUACGUAGGGUGCAAGCGUUAUCCGGAUUUAUUGGGCGUAAAGAGUCUCGUAGGCGGUCUGAUGCGUUUGGGGUUAAAGCCUCCAGCUCAACUGGAGAACUGCUCUGAAUACGGUCAGACUUGAGGUCGUUAGGGAAUGCUGGAACUCCUAGUGGAGGGGUGAAAUCCGUUGAUAUUAGGAGGAACACCAAGGGCGAAGGCAGGCAUUUGGGACGAUCCUGACGCUGAUGAACGAAAGCUAGGGGAGCGAAAGGGAUUAGAGACCCCUGUAGUCCUAGCUGUAAACUAUGUUCGCUAGGGAGGCGCCGCAAGGUACCCCCCGAAGGUAACCCAUUAAGCGAACCGCCUGGGGAGUACGGCCGCAAGGCUAAAACUCAAAGGAAUUGACGG